CCUCACCUGCAGACACCUGCUCAGUCUCUACACGGUUUGAACUCAGCUGCACCUUCAGGAAACAAUUGUAUCUCCGGUUAAAAAUCCUUUUGUCCCCACCACUUUUCAACACAAAGAGACGGCCUUGUCUCUGAGAGCAGCUCCUCCUCCUCCUUAUUAUUAGCAGCAGCUGCAGCAGAUCACCUCCAGCAGGAUCAGCAGCAACGACAGCAACUGUUGCCUGUUCUGGGUUGCUGUUUGACAAACUCUCCACCAGAUCAUUCCUCCUCAUCCUCUUUAAAACCCUCUUGGCCACCUCCACGCACUGAUUGCUGUAAGUCUGCACCAUCAGAUCCACCGUGUCCGGCCUGUCUGCGCUCUCCAGUUGGCUCUUUGGGAUCGGUGGGAGGUCCUUGAGGAAGUCCGGCUGCUGCAGCUCUCGGUGUGCAGCCGUCUCUGUGAGCGUCUCCCUCUUAUUUCCUCGUAGCAGCAGCACUACAGCAGUCACAGAUCACCUCCAGUAGUAUCAGCAGCAACC
Micropterus dolomieu (smallmouth bass) is the source of this 517-nucleotide long non-coding RNA. RefSeq lists it as uncharacterized. The record is from RefSeq and is a predicted model, not a curated record. NCBI's taxonomy places the organism in Eukaryota, Metazoa, Chordata, Actinopteri, Centrarchiformes, Centrarchidae. The transcript has 6 exons.